RNAcentral lists this ribosomal RNA (492 nucleotides) under uncultured bacterium. RNAcentral's name for it is "partial 16S ribosomal RNA". It matches the Rfam family "Bacterial small subunit ribosomal RNA", at positions 29 to 507 of the family's 1533-position model. The record is from RNAcentral.
AGUGAACGCUGGCGGUAGGCCUAACACAUGCAAGUCGAACGGCAGCACAGUAAGAGCUUGCUCUUACGGGUGGCGAGUGGCGGACGGGUGAGGAAUACAUCGGGAUCUACUUUUUCGUGGGGGAUAACGUAGGGAAACUUACGCUAAUACCGCAUACGACCUACGGGUGAAAGCAGGGGAUCUUCGGACCUUGCGCGAUUGAAUGAGCCGAUGUCGGAUUAGCUAGUUGGCGGGGUAAAGGCCCACCAAGGGGACGAUCCGUAGCUGGUCUGAGAGGAUGAUCAGCCACACUGGAACUGAGACACGGUCCAGACUCCUACGGGAGGCAGCAGUGGGGAAUAUUGGACAAUGGGCGCAAGCCUGAUCCAGCCAUACCGCGUGGGUGAAGAAGGCCUUCGGGUUGUAAAGCCCUUUUGUUGGGAAAGAAAAGCAGCAGGUUAAUACCCCGCUGUUCUGACGGUACCCAAAGAAUAAGCACCGGCUAACUUCGUG